GUGCUCGCUUCGGCGACACAUACACUGACAUUGGAACAAGACAGAGAAGAUUAGGACAGCCCCCUGCAUAAAGAUGACACGCAAAUUUACGAAGCGUUCCGUAGUUUU
This is a small nuclear RNA of Equus asinus (donkey), 108 nucleotides long. The record is from Ensembl. Lineage: Eukaryota; Metazoa; Chordata; Mammalia; Perissodactyla; Equidae.